UACGGAGGGUGCAAGCGUUAUCCGGAUUCACUGGGUUUAAAGGGUGCGUAGGUGGGCAGGUAAGUCAGUGGUGAAAUCUCCGGGCUUAACCCGGAAACUGCCAUUGAUACUAUUUGCCUUGAAUACUGUGGAGGUCAGCGGAAUAUGUCAUGUAGCGGUGAAAUGCUUAGAUAUGACAUAGAACACCAAUUGCGAAGGCAGCUGGCUACACAAAUAUUGACACUGAGGCACGAAAGCGUGGGGAUCAAACAGG
This 253-nucleotide ribosomal RNA is filed under the name uncultured bacterium. Its description in RNAcentral is "partial 16S ribosomal RNA". It matches the Rfam family "Bacterial small subunit ribosomal RNA", at positions 524 to 776 of the family's 1533-position model. The record is from RNAcentral.